AAGUCUUGAGGAGUGUGUACAUGUACAUGUGUGUACACAAAUACAACUCUGGGUAUGUAUACACACAAAUGUGUAUA
This 77-nucleotide microRNA precursor is filed under the name Cricetulus griseus (Chinese hamster). RNAcentral's name for it is "miRNA (ENSCGRG00001005161.1)". Lineage: Eukaryota; Metazoa; Chordata; Mammalia; Rodentia; Cricetidae. The record is from RNAcentral.